RNAcentral lists this ribosomal RNA (427 nucleotides) under uncultured Pseudomonadota bacterium. Its description in RNAcentral is "bacterial SSU rRNA". It matches the Rfam family "Bacterial small subunit ribosomal RNA", at positions 356 to 774 of the family's 1533-position model. The record is from RNAcentral. Lineage: Bacteria; Pseudomonadati; Pseudomonadota.
GGGGAAUAUUGCACAAUGGGCGCAAGCCUGAUGCAGCCAUGCCGCGUGUAUGAAGAAGGCCUUCGGGUUGUAAAGUACUUUCAGCGGGGAGGAAGGUGUUGUGGUUAAUAACCGCAGCAAUUGACGUUACCAGCAGAAUAAGCACCGGCUAACUUCGUGCCAGCAGCCGCGGGUAAUACGAAGGGUGCAAGCGUUAAUCGGAAUUACUGGGCGUAAAGCGCACGUAGGCUGCUUUGUAAGUCAGGGGUGAAAUCCCACGGCUCAACCGUGGAACUGCCUUUGAUACUGCUUAGCUUGAAUCCGGGAGAGGGUGGCGGAAUUCCAGGUGUAGGAGUGAAAUCCGUAGAUAUCUGGAGGAACAUCAGUGGCGAAGGCGGCCACCUGGACCGGUAUUGACGCUCAGGUGCGAAAGCGUGGGGAGCGAACA